UUUGACUGAGCGGGACAGCAAGCAAAUUCUGGGUCCUUUCUUCAGCUUCCAUCAAACCCGAUCGAACCACAGAAGUGAAGGUCCUCACGUGUGUCCUUUACACGCAGAGGCUUGCUGAUCGACGACACUGUUACCAGUUCUAGGGCUGACGCACCCACCCACGCCCCCACCCCGGUGUAUCCUUUACAGCGUAUGCGUGCCAAAGGAGGAGCUGCUGGUUCCAAGAUGAGACCUUUGCUGGACACUUUGAAAGAUACACAGAGCAUUGAGAAGAAAAGGGAUCUUCUUAUCUGCUA
Long non-coding RNA from Oreochromis aureus, 296 nucleotides. RefSeq lists it as uncharacterized. The transcript has 4 exons. Lineage: Eukaryota; Metazoa; Chordata; Actinopteri; Cichliformes; Cichlidae. The record is from RefSeq and is a predicted model, not a curated record.